This 420-nucleotide ribosomal RNA is filed under the name uncultured bacterium. RNAcentral describes it as "bacterial SSU rRNA". It matches the Rfam family "Bacterial small subunit ribosomal RNA", at positions 102 to 515 of the family's 1533-position model. The record is from RNAcentral.
ACGGGUGAGUAACGCGUAGGUAACCUGCCUGGUAGUGGGGGAUAACUAUUGGAAACGAUAGCUAAUACCGCAUAAUAGCAGUUGUUGCAUGACAGCUGUUUGAAAGGUGCAAUUGCACCACUACCAGAUGGACCUGCGUUGUAUUAGCUAGUUGGUGAGGUAACGGCCCACCAAGACGAUGAUGCGUAGCCGGCCUGAGAGGGUGAACGGCCACAUUGGGACUGAGACACGGCCCAGACUCCUACGGGAGGCAGCAGUAGGGAAUUUUCGGCAAUGGGGGAAACCCUGACCGAGCAACGCCGCGUGAGUGAUGACGGCCUUCGGGUUGUAAAGCUCUGUUGUAAGGGAAGAACGGUAGAUAGAGAAUAUCUAAGUGACGGUACCUUACCAGAAAGCCACGGCUAACUACGUGCCAGCAGC